Colossoma macropomum (tambaqui) is the source of this 3035-nucleotide long non-coding RNA. RefSeq lists it as uncharacterized. NCBI's taxonomy places the organism in Eukaryota, Metazoa, Chordata, Actinopteri, Characiformes, Serrasalmidae. The record is from RefSeq and is a predicted model, not a curated record. The transcript is spliced from 3 exons.
CCCGCUUCCACUAUGGCAGCUCGUAUAGAGUCAACAAAAACCACAGCUUCAGUUUCUCUGGAUUCGCGGCUCAGACGGGUCCAGACAGAGGGGCUGCUCUUUGCUACAGGCGGAGUGAGGAGAUGGCAAUAAGAAGAAGAAGAAGUCCAAACUAUGGCAGUGCUUUUAAGAAUACGAUGGUGAUGACUUGAAGUGAAAACUGGCGUUUGAAGAAGGGCCUCUACCACCGAGGCUGCGCAUGUGUGACAACAGAGCGCCAUCCUGUAAACAGCAAGCAGCGUUUAACGCAGCACCUGUGAGAUGGCAACAAAGCACUUUUGGAGGGACGCUCAAACCAUCUACAUGCUUGAUGAACAUACUUGAUGAAUAGACGUAAAAUUGGUGAUGUAAAUUUGUAUUUCCCGGUAAAGUGACUUGAUGUUUAUUUAAAUUUUACGUUACAUUUACGCUUCACAGCUAGAAGAGCCUGGGUUCGAUUUCCUGACUGUGCGACCAGCGUCCUUUCUGUGUGGUGUUCUCCCCGUGUCUGCGUGGGUUUCUUCCGGGUUCUCUGGUUUUCUCCCACAGUCCAAAGACAUGCAGUCAGGCGAAUUGGAGAUACUAAGUUGUCCCUAGGUGUAAAUGUGACUGUGUAUAUCUGUGUGUCUGCCCUGUGAUGGACUGGCGACCUGUCCAAGGUGUUUCUUGCCUUCCUUCCAAUUAGUGCUGGAACAGGCCUGUUUGAGCCACAUAGAAAGUGAAUGAUUCAUGUUAUAUGGUUGAUCUUUAAGAGGAGCUGACAGUAUGUCCCAUAGUAAGUACUAUGCACAUGUUUGAAAGUAAGGACGGAAAUAUGAUGCCAUCAUUAUUGUGAUUAAUUUCAUCACAAUUAGGGCUGCGCCGAUAUUUUGGCUGGGAUUUGUGGGUUGAUGGUGACAUCUGAAAUUUGUUAUGUAUAUGUUAUGUACAAUGUAAAGCCUGCUUCUGUAGAGUUACAAAUGUGGUAAAAUGGAUAAAAUGCUGACUCUCACGCUUCCUGGUUCUGAGUCGGACUCUCACCUCACUACAACCUCCAACUCCCAAGAUCCCUCAGUAUGUCGUGACUCUGUCAACCAAUCACCAGUCUACUAGAAGAUCCAAGUCACCUGAGUACUGAUGGUCAUCACCUAUAGAACUCUGUAUUUAAGCCUGUCUGUCUCACUGUUACUUUGCAAAGUAUUGCCCCUGUUCUGUCAGUGCAUACCGAGCCGUUUUCUUGUUUACUGCUUAUCCCAAGUUGCUUUGUUUCUCUUUUGUCAUCUUUUGGAAUCUCCCCUAUUGUCUUUGUUCACCUGUUUGUUAGAUGUCUUGGUUUCGACCCUUGCUUGUUUAUGACUGUUUUGCCUGCUCCCAUGUACUGUGUUUUUUCCUACUGAUUUUUGAUCUGGUCUGGUGUUAACCUUGUCAACUGUUGCCCAGUGUUACACUGACACAUCCCAGCAUCGGCAAAACAUUCUUCUAUUCCGGAUUGCAAUAAAUGCAUCAUCAAAUAUCACUUCAAAAUAGCAGUCAAACCUAAUCAUCUGUCAUACAUGUUGACCCUGAGUCCUCAGUCACAGUACACUUUUCUGAGUAAAUCAUGGGUAUGAUUGGUCCUUCUAGAACGCCGAACAACUGCUUGAAUCAUAAGAGAGACCAAUUUAGACCAUUGAUGUCAGCUGCUUUCCGCUGUUUUGGCCAAGUCCUCCCAAAAGCUCAGGCUAUUUUAGAGUUUAUUUUUCACCUUGUGUUGAUCGCGAACACACGGUUCAGCAGAACCAUACAAAAACCUAAUUGUAACGUUAUGCCAAACUGUUCUACAUCUAAAAAUACAGGGCUCAAUCAGGCUAAGGGCACAGCGAGCUGCACCCCUGUUAGACCUGACUGCAUGUCGAGAAGGCCGUAGAGCUAUGAGCUUUAUUCAGAAAGCAGCUCUCCCACGGACAGCAUAAUGAGACAGUAAGGGUAAUUGUGUUUCCAUUAACCCUCUGGCUCUCUCGGACUUCCGUGCGCCGGCCAGAGUGCUGUGAGUGUGACCUGUUACCAUGGAGGGCAGUUCUUAUACAGUGAUCUCGCCCUUCAGCCACUUUACCAAAAGCGAAAGUCUGUGAUCUGCCUUUUACUCUUUUACGUUCUCUAAUCACUUUCUCCGUCUCUCUUUCUCUCUCUUUCUGUCUCUUGCAUAAUUGGGAAAAUAUUCACUGACUCUCUUGUUAACUUCUGUUCUAAACGUGUAACCUGUCUGACCCUGUGCUUUUUCGUUUUCGUCUGUUUCUGUAAUGCUCUCUGCUUGCCUAAAAAUGUUUUUUGUACCUUGCCGGAACGCGGGGUCAAGUACACUCACAGGAAAAAUUGUACUAAAUGCUUUAGUUUGGGGUGGUAACCUCAAGGGUAUGUCAGCAGUACCUUUAGUUAAGAAACACAACUGCUCCAUAUUCCAUUGCAGCUAUAUUUUUAAGUUGCAUUGACUCUGUAUGCUCUGUCUUGACCUUUUUUACAUUCAUAACGGUAGCUGUAACUUACAUUUUAAGGUUAUUUUCGAGUACUUGUCUAUUUCAGCUGGGCGCGUAUCGCAGAUUGCUUUGUAACAGACUUAACAGUUGAUUAUCAACCUCGAUCAAGUAGUUUAGGAUUUCCUAACUUGAGAUGAGAUGCUAAUAAGAGUCCUAAAUUAGGAUAAGACUUGCUUCCGAAUUAUGAAUUUGUGAAAAGAUCUGACAGGUAAAAAUUGAACUUGAUACAAAAAUAUAGGGAGAUUCUAUAAAACAGCCCCUGGUUAAGAAGAGAUCUUGUUCAGUGAUGCACUGAAAUGAAGGUUCCUGGUUGAAACUGAAACCAAAAUUGAAGACACCUGGCAAAUUUUAAAUUUGUCGUUUUAUGUAUGCUUUUGAAAAAAAAAGGUUCUAAAGGCACUACUUAUACUAGAUAAUAAAGAAAACACCUUUUAUUAUUGACAAAAUCUGCUUUCAAUAGGACCUAAGUGAGCUGACAAAUAAUAUAUGUACAUAAACGUUUUUCCCCACCGUUUAAAAUGUAAU